ACCAGGUAAACCAAUUGGG
Molecule: small nuclear RNA, 19 nt
Filed under: Arabidopsis thaliana (thale cress)
Lineage: Eukaryota; Viridiplantae; Streptophyta; Magnoliopsida; Brassicales; Brassicaceae
Description: snRNA_01844
Source: RNAcentral